This 233-nucleotide ribosomal RNA is filed under the name uncultured bacterium. RNAcentral describes it as "partial 16S ribosomal RNA". It matches the Rfam family "Bacterial small subunit ribosomal RNA", at positions 99 to 334 of the family's 1533-position model. The record is from RNAcentral.
CGGACGGGAGAGUAAUAUAUCGGAACGUCGCCAGUAGUGGGGGAUAACUCUACGAAAGAGCAGCUAAUACCGCAUACGACCUGAGGGUGGAAAGGGGGGGAUCGCAAGACCUCUCGCUAUUGGAGCGGCCGAUAUCAGAUUAGCUAGUUGGUGGGGUAAAGGCCUACCAAGGCAACGAUCUGUAGUUGGUCUGAGAGGACGACCAGCCACACUGGGACUGAGACACGGCCCAG